Long non-coding RNA from Sarcophilus harrisii (Tasmanian devil), 1818 nucleotides. RefSeq lists it as uncharacterized. The record is from RefSeq and is a predicted model, not a curated record. The transcript is spliced from 2 exons. Lineage: Eukaryota; Metazoa; Chordata; Mammalia; Dasyuromorphia; Dasyuridae.
AUUGAAAACAAAACAGAAUCACUGAGUAUCCUCAAAGAACUGAAAAGUAGCAAUGAGAUCGCAUCCUACAUAAUAUGGUGUGAUUUUGUAGUGACUGAAAUAAGAUCAAUUUUGAGACUUCUGGUAACUCUUAAUAGCCUUAGAAGUAAGGUGAAUACAUAUAAGUCAGAUAGAUGAUCAGAAAUCAGAAGGGUUGGAGACUAGCUAGGUAAGUGCAAUGGAUCAAGGGGCAACAAAAUUUAGGGGGUUGUUUGGAGAAUCACUGAAGUAGAUGACCAUGAAAUUUAGUCAUUAUUUAAUUAUUUUGGAUAAAUUUUGUUUCCCUAACUAAAUUUUACAUUACAUUUUUUUUGCUUUUUUUUUUUUUUAACAUAGGCACCAUAUCUUACAUUUCUGAAUUCCCUAAAACAUCCAGUAUAAUGGUUUCUAUGGCUAAAGAAUCCCUCUCCAAGUUCACCUACUAGUGAUAAUCUUCUUUGCACUCAAUUCAUUCUUCCUCAGAAAGUCAGUGAAUGAAUGAAAUUGGAAUAAUUUCUGAAGCUUUUUUAUAUGAUAGAAACUGUCAGAUGUUGUGCUCUGCCAAUCAUCCUUUUCAGUAGUUCAUUAUUAUUUUUUCUUUUUUGCACACAAGAAGAUAAUCCAGAGGUGAGAACCAAGUAUAAGGAAUGUGGUAAGCAUCAAAUAACACCAUGAAAAAGAAAUUGAUUUGAUUUUCAUAGAUAGGAAGUUACUCAUUACCAAGUCAGCUAUGAACAAGUACACUACCACAUUGGUAGGGUAAAUACUGAAAGUAAUACAAAACUAGGAGAAAAAAAAUAAAAAAUGUAAUAAAGGAUAGUGCAUAGAAUUAAAACAAGUCCAACUUAAUAUAUUCAAACAAGUUAUUGAUGCUGAAAAUGGAAAAUAGAUGAAGGGAACGACAUUGAUACUGAUUUCAUACAGAACUGAACAAGACAGCAAAGAGAGAGAGAGAGAGAGAGAGAGACAUCAAUGAGGAGGCCAAAAGAGCCUAGGAAUCACCUCUGCUGGCAAAUAUUUGGUCUUCUUAACAAAUGGAAAACUACAUCUAAUAAGAGCAGUGCCAGUUUAAGAUACAAAUUCAUUGGUAAAAUCUUAUUGAGAAGGAUAUUUAAAGAAUAUUAGCUAUAUUUCCUCCCAAAUCAGUGAGUAGCAUUAAGGGGAAAAAAAAUUUAAAGAAAAAUUGAUGAAAGUUGACUAAACAAAAUUAUCCUAUAGGUAUUCAAGGAUUAAAUUGGAAGGGGUUGAGACAAGAAAUUUUUAUAACAAAUUCUUUUGUUAUAUGUUGUUAAAUAAAAUGGAUAUGAUAUAGAAGAAAACAAAGGUGGAAAAAGCAGUUAAAUGAAAUCAAACAUACACAGAGGAGAGCUAUGGUAGAAGUGACAUAACUUUAAGGGCAUUAAAAGGUCAGUUUUCAAGAUAGAAGAAAGAGGCAAAGAUACCAAAAAUAGAGAAAAAAAUCUCAGACUUUACUUGAAAAAAUAAUCAAGGAGUCAUCAAAUAAAACUAACUUUAUUGUUACAUCUUUUGAGGUAUAUUUUGAAACAUUCAUUGGAUACACUGUUUUAUAAAUCUUCUGAUUAUUAAUAUCAGGUGAUAUAUUAUAUUGGUAGACAUAAGCUCAUAAAAGUUGUUCACCAUUGUCAUAGUGGAAGUCCAGAAAACAGAUUCUAAGCCCAAGAUGGAUUUCCUAAAUAUGUGAGAUCCUCUCCUUAUCCCUAUUUGUAAAUAACAUUAUGCUGAUUUUAUUAAACUCUGUAACAAUGGCAUCCAUAGUUACUUUAAAGAGUAUGACCUAAA